ACCCCUAAACCAGGCAGCAGUCGAGAAUGAGGAAGAGACGGCUAACUCUGUGCCAGCAGCCGCGGUAAUACAGAGGUCUCAAGCGUUGUUCGGAUUCAUUGGGCGUAAAGGGUGUGUAGGUGGCGCGCUAAGUCGGGUGUGAAAUUUCGGAGCUUAACUCCGAAACUGCAUUCGAUACUGGCGUGCUUGAGGACUGCAU
Molecule: ribosomal RNA, 199 nt
Filed under: uncultured bacterium
Lineage: Bacteria
Description: partial 16S ribosomal RNA
Rfam family: Bacterial small subunit ribosomal RNA
Source: RNAcentral